This 483-nucleotide unclassified non-coding RNA is filed under the name Hevea brasiliensis (rubber tree). Lineage: Eukaryota; Viridiplantae; Streptophyta; Magnoliopsida; Malpighiales; Euphorbiaceae. The record is from RNAcentral.
GCUCAAUUUCAUGGACGGAAUUGUAAAUUCUUGCUGCGGCGACGAGAAGAUAAUGGUUUUCACGAUGAACAGCAAAGAGCAAAUUGACCCAGCGAUGCUUAGGCCAGGACGAAUCGAUGUACACAUACACUUCCCUUACUGUGAUUUCAAUUCCUUCAAAUAUUUAGCAAACAAUUAUCUGGGUGUUAAGGAACACAAGCUGUUUCCACAAGUAGAGGAGAUUUUCCAUAGCGGCGCAACAAUGAGUCCGGCGGCGAUCGGAGAGUUGAUGAUAGUCAACCGAAGCUCCCCAAGCAGAGCUAUGAAGUCCGUCAUCACGGCGUUACAAUCAAGCGGAACGGAGGGAAAGAUCGGCGGGAAGGGAAAACGGUUGAGUGACAGUGCAUCGUCGCCGCUACGACUGGAGCCGCCGCCACAUGCGGAGGAGACAGGUGGCGCAAACUGGAAGGACUCUGUUCCGGGAGCGAAGGAGGUGCGUAAAUU